Brachypodium distachyon (stiff brome) is the source of this 358-nucleotide long non-coding RNA. RefSeq lists it as uncharacterized. The record is from RefSeq and is a predicted model, not a curated record. The transcript has 2 exons. NCBI's taxonomy places the organism in Eukaryota, Viridiplantae, Streptophyta, Magnoliopsida, Poales, Poaceae.
CCGGGUCCAUUUCAAUCAUGGAUCGGUUAGCCUCGUGACUCACUCAGCUGAGCUGAGCGGCGAUUCGAGGCGUGUGAUGUUGAUGGGGUACGCGCUAGCCAUUUGGAGCUGCUGGUCUCUUUCCUCAGGACUGUCAAAGACCGAGUAUGUCCCAUGAGCUGACUGAACAAAGGAUCACUGGAUUGUUGUGUCAUAAACUCAUAAUAACUCGCAUGUCGGCGUGAAGCCGAAGGAAAACACUCGCAUGUGCAGAUGUGCUGGACUGCUUGUCUCUGGCUGAAUAACUAUCUUUGCUUGCCCUGCGACGCAUGCAUGCUUAAUUCGGUUUCCACAGAGGCAGGACGUGCAUGUGCCCCCA